CCUACGGGAGGCAGCAGUGGGGGAUAUUGCACAAUGGGGGGAACCCUGAUGCAGCGACGCCGCGUGGGUGAAGGAGUGCUUCGGCAUGUAAAGCCCUAUCGGCAGGGAAGAAGCAAGACGGUACCUGACUAAGAAGCCCCGGCUAACUACGUGCCAGCAGCCGCGGUAAUACGUAGGGGGCGAGCGUUAUCCGGAUGCACUGGGUGGAAAGGGAGCGUAGACGGCCAAGCAAGCCAGGGGUGAAAGCCCGGGGCCCAACCCCGGGACUGCCCUUGGAACUGCAUGGCUGGAGUGCGGGAGGGGCAGGCGGAAUUCCUGGUGUAGCGGUGAAAUGCGUAGAUAUCAGGAGGAACACCGGCGGCGAAGGCGGCCUGCUGGACCGCGACUGACGUUGAGGCUCGAAAGCGUGGGGAGCGAACAGGAUUAGAUACCCCUGUAGUC
Molecule: ribosomal RNA, 441 nt
Filed under: uncultured bacterium
Lineage: Bacteria
Description: partial 16S ribosomal RNA
Rfam family: Bacterial small subunit ribosomal RNA
Source: RNAcentral